CCAGACUCCUACGGGAGGCAGCAGUAGGGAAUUUUCGUCAAUGGGCGCAAGCCUGAACGAGCGAUGCCGCGUGAGUGAAGAAGGCCUUCGGGUCGUAAAGCUCUGUUGCGGGGGAAAAAAGGCAGCAUCAGGAAUGGGUGCUGACUGAUGGUGCCCGCCAGAAAGUCACGGCUAACUACGUGCCAGCAGCCGCGGUAAUACGGAGGAUGCGAGCGUUAUCCGGAUUUAUUGGGUUUAAAGGGUGCGUAGGCGGGCUUUUAAGUCAGCGGUAAAAAUUCGGGGCUCAACCCCGUCCGGCCGUUGAAACUGGGGGCCUUGAGUGGGCGAGAAGAAGGCGGAAUGCGUGGUGUAGCGGUGAAAUGCAUAGAUAUCACGCAGAACUCCGAUUGCGAAG
Molecule: ribosomal RNA, 394 nt
Filed under: uncultured bacterium
Lineage: Bacteria
Description: partial 16S ribosomal RNA
Rfam family: Bacterial small subunit ribosomal RNA
Source: RNAcentral